ACGGAUAACAUACCGAAAGGUAUGCUAAUACGGGAUAAUAUAUUUGAGAGGCAUCUCUUAAAUAUCAAAGGUGAGCCAGUACAGGAUGGACCCGCGUCUGAUUAGCUAGUUGGUAAGGUAACGGCUUACCAAGGCGACGAUCAGUAGCCGACCUGAGAGGGUGAUCGGCCACAUUGGAACUGAGACACGGUCCAAACUCCUACGGGAGGCAGCAGUGGGGAAUAUUGCACAAUGGGCGAAAGCCUGAUGCAGCAACGCCGCGUGAGUGAUGAAGGCCUUCGGGUCGUAAAACUCUGUCCUCAAGGAAGAUAAUGACGGUACUUGAGGAGGAAGCCCCGGCUAACUACGUGCCAGCAGCCGCGGUAAUACGUAGGGGGCUAGCGUUAUCCGGAUUUACUGGGCGUAAAGGGUGCGUAGGCGGUCUUUCAAGUCAGGAGUGAAAGGCUACGGCUCAACCGUAGUAAGCUCUUGAAACUGGGAGACUUGAGUGCAGGAGAGGAGAGUGGAAUUCCUAGUGUAGCGGUGAAAUGCGUAGAUAUUAGGAGGAACACCAGUUGCGAAGGCGGCUCUCUGGACUGUAACUGACGCCGAGGCACGAAAGCGUGGGGAGCAAACAGGAUUAGAUACCCUGGUAGUCCACGCUGUAAACGAUGAGUACUAGGUGUCGGGGGUUACCCCCUUCGGUGCCGCAG
Molecule: ribosomal RNA, 692 nt
Filed under: uncultured bacterium
Lineage: Bacteria
Description: bacterial SSU rRNA
Rfam family: Bacterial small subunit ribosomal RNA
Source: RNAcentral